RNAcentral lists this unclassified non-coding RNA (221 nucleotides) under uncultured Acidimicrobiia bacterium. Its description in RNAcentral is "contains 16S-23S intergenic spacer region". It matches the Rfam family "Bacterial small subunit ribosomal RNA", at positions 976 to 1197 of the family's 1533-position model. The record is from RNAcentral. Lineage: Bacteria; Bacillati; Actinomycetota; Acidimicrobiia.
UGGGUUUGACAUGCUGGGAAAAGCCACAGAGAUGUGGUGUCCUUCGGGGCCCAGCGCAGGUGGUGCAUGGCUGUCGUCAGCUCGUGUCGUGAGAUGUUGGGUUAAGUCCCGCAACGAGCGCAACCCUCGUCCUGUGUUGCCAGCGGGUAAAGCCGGGGACUCGCAGGAGACUGCCGGGGUCAACUCGGAGGAAGGUGGGGAUGACGUAGCACGCAAUAACA